GUAAACAUGGGGUUUGUGUUUAUCCAGGAUGGAAUUGAUUAUUGUAUUAGCGAUCUCUCGCCGUCUGACGGAUUACCAGACAUCCUAGUGGCUCCAAACAAAUAACUCUUGUUAGAGGAGUGACCAAAAAGUUAUCAGUAAUGCCUUCAUCUGCACUGAAGGAUGCCUGGCAUCGUCUGAGAAGUCUUCUCACAGAUACCAGUAGGAUUCCCCCAUCAUGGCUUGUUCUCCAGCCCUGGAACAUUUUGGAAGAGUGAGUGUGGACUUUCCAGCACAUUCUACAGCUCCCUCGUUUGCAAUGGCAAUGGAGGGGCAUUCCUAGGAAGAAAGCAUGCCUCCCGAGAGGUUCUAUUAAAUCGACUUGACUGUCAGGCAUCACUGAAGAGUUACAACAAGAAAGAAGGCACAUUGCCUUCAUCUCCCCAGCUCUUUGUGUCUGGGUACAUUUUUGGUUUCAGCUUCCAAAUUAAGUCUCUGCAGGUUUGGAGUGGUCAGCUCAGCUUUCGUUCCUAAAAAACCCACAGCAGCUGGAGUUGAUUCAGGUGAGCUGAGGCUUCGGCAGCCCCGAGGCUGGCCCAGAAGGACUACCGCAGUCAGCAGUAACCACAUUCUUCUCUACCCAAGCCAAGCUUGUUGAAAUAUCUAGCGGCAGUCCACAUUUGCUGUACGUGAGUAAUUUGGUGGAUGGAAAAAUAACAGUGGGCUAUAAUGAAAAGUGAAUUCAUGAGCCUCUGACUGUGAAUUUAUACACAGCCAGACUUGUAUUGUAGUUAGGCACCUUGGUAAGAAAAUCCCAUAUAUAAAAAGUUGAAGAGAACAAAAUGACUUCUCAUUUUUGAAGACGGCCAUGAGUUACUCUUCAAAGAUCCAAAAUCUCUUAUGAGUUAAACG
Mus musculus (house mouse) is the source of this 891-nucleotide long non-coding RNA. RefSeq annotates it as predicted gene, 31962. The record is from RefSeq and is a predicted model, not a curated record. Lineage: Eukaryota; Metazoa; Chordata; Mammalia; Rodentia; Muridae. The transcript is spliced from 4 exons.